UUCAUAGAACGUUCCAGCUUCAAGCAACUAGAAUCCACCAUUUUCAAUACACACACCUUAUCAAUGCCCUGGGAGCUGAUCGUAACGGGAGACGGGGAAUCAGGGUUCGAUUCCAGAGAGGAAGUCUGAUAAGCGGCUACCACAUCCAAGGAAAGCA
RNAcentral lists this ribosomal RNA (157 nucleotides) under Stegodyphus mimosarum. RNAcentral describes it as "eukaryotic small subunit ribosomal RNA". Lineage: Eukaryota; Metazoa; Arthropoda; Arachnida; Araneae; Eresidae. The record is from RNAcentral.